RNAcentral lists this ribosomal RNA (460 nucleotides) under uncultured bacterium. Its description in RNAcentral is "partial 16S ribosomal RNA". It matches the Rfam family "Bacterial small subunit ribosomal RNA", at positions 338 to 795 of the family's 1533-position model. The record is from RNAcentral.
CCUACGGGUGGCAGCAGUGAGGAAUAUUGGUCAAUGGACGCAAGUCUGAACCAGCCAUGCCGCGUGCAGGAAGACGGAUCUAUGAGUUGUAAACCGCUUUUGUACGAGGGUAAACGCCGAGACGCGUAUCUGUCUGAAAGUAUCUUACGAAUAAGGAUCGGCUAACUCCGUGCCAGCAGCCGCGGUAAUACGGAGGAUUCAAGCGUUAUCCGGAUUUAUUGGGUUUAAAGGGUGCGUAGGCGGUCGUUUAAGUUAGGGGUGAAAUCCAGUGGCUCAAAUUCGGAAUUGCCGUUGAUACUGGUCGGCUUGAGAAUGUUUGCGGUAGGCGGAAUGUAUGGUGUAGCGGUGAAAUGCUUAGAGAUCAUACAGAACCCCGAUUGCGAAGGCAGCCUGCCAAGCUAUUUCUGACGUUGAGGCACGAAAGCGUGGGGAGCAAACAGGAUUAGAUACCCGAGUAGUC